Molecule: transfer RNA, 76 nt
Filed under: Nitrospina watsonii
Lineage: Bacteria; Pseudomonadati; Nitrospinota; Nitrospinia; Nitrospinales; Nitrospinaceae
Also listed under: 3 other names
Description: tRNA-Lys
Rfam family: tRNA
About the family: Transfer RNA (tRNA) molecules are approximately 80 nucleotides in length. Their secondary structure includes four short double-helical elements and three loops (D, anti-codon, and T loops).
Source: RNAcentral
GGGCCGUUAGCUCAACUGGCAGAGCAACUGACUCUUAAUCAGUAGGUUGUAGGUUCGAUUCCUACACGGCUCACCA